GCCUUCUGGUCCGCCAUAUUGAGGAGGUCGCGGAGAUUCUAUUUAUUUAUUUAUUUAUUUUCCCCUUCUUCUCAGCCCCGCCCCCUCUCCGUUUGUUAGACCGCGCGGUGUUGACUUCUGUAUCCUCCCUGGCACGUGGUAGGCAUUCUGUAAAGUCGCGUCGAUUUAAUGGAUGAAUUGGUAAACGGUCAAAGACAAGCCACUUGCGAGCGUAGAGAGACGCUGUCUCUCGCCCUCUCUGUACUUGGGGAGCGACAUGUGUGAUCAGUUUUAUUUGGGUCAUGGAGUAGACCCUGCCCCGAGUUAGGUGUGCUGAGGGUCGCCGACAUGGAGCAGCAGGUGGGUGCGGGCCCUGCCCUAGGACAGACACUGGUCCUCAAGGGGCCCAGGACUAGUCGGGGACGCGGCGGCCGAGGUGGAGGCAGAAGAGCUCAAUGACCGGGGGCUCGGGUGGGCACUUGGGGCUUCCCAGGAAGACCGCGUGGCUGGUUAGUGGGUUGCCAUAGAAUGGAUGGGUAGCGGAAGACCCCCAGUCCCACAGUCCUCUUGUCAUCAUCACGUGUAGACUGUGGGCUCUGGAGCCAGGCAGUUUGAUUUCAGAUUCCAGCUCCACAACUAUCAGAUGUGUGAUCGUAUCCAAUUAACAUUUCUGGCCUGUUUGCCAGAAAGCCUCAUAGGGUUGCUGUGAAGAUUAGAAGAGGCAAUUUGUGUGCGGGGCUUAGGACAGUGCCUGGCACACACAUACUGCGCACCGAUCCCGCGUGUUCGCAGCACCGCGCAAAUGCGCAGCCCUGCACAGGCGGGUGACGUGCUCACAUUGAAGGCUCUUGGCAGGAACCCCUCGAAGGCAGGCAAGGGAAAUGGUGGCAAAUGGAAAUAGAGCUGUAGUUCGUGGUCUUCCUCCCCCCUUCCCUUUCCCCUCCUUCCACAUCUCCAUCAACUGCGUUUCCCAAGCUGUCUUGCCAGCCUAGUAGAUUCCAGUAGUUUCUGCCCCUCCCCUUCCCCCAGCACCCUCCUCCCUGGGAUCUCUGACAGCUUUACCCAGCAAUCCCGCCUGGCCCCCUCCGGCUGUCCCUCCCUGGGACCUGGGUACGGCUCCUGUCAGGGUUCUGCAUGCCUGCCACUCGCUCGGUAAAAGUACAGCCUGGCUUGGUCAGGCUUGCGUACUUGGCCUCCCCAUCUCCCCAACUUAGCCGCUCCCAUGUGGUGCGAUUUCUCUCACCAAGUGUUGUUUUCCUUUUCUCUGCCUGUGUUUGCACGGAAUGCCAUGAAUUUGAUAUAGUGAUUGCCUAACACAUAGACCACAUAAUAGUAUUUUAUUUCUUUCUGAAGCACUGUUUGCAUGACAAAUGAGUUGGUAACAUUUGUGCAACUCCUUGCAGCUGUGCAGUUCGAUAUAUAAAGAGUGAGCCUUUCGGCAUCAAUACUGGCCCUGUGUGUUCUAAGAGGGCUUGCAACUGAUACUUAAACAAAGUUAACAUCCCAGCGUUUCACAGAGUUACGGUCUGUUUCAUCACAAUGGAUCUCAGGGCGAUUUAAAAAUAUGGACUGAACCCAAGUCAGCCCCAGCGGCAUGCAGAGCGGGCUCUGCCAGCAUCCUGUGCUCAGGGACACUGCUGCAGCUGCUCCCCACGCCCAGGGCCGGAUGACCCACGACCCUCUCCCCAACCUCCUUGUUUUCCCUCAAGCCUGAAACCACUCAGGGACCUUUAGCCACCCAUGAGCCCACAGCAGGUGCUGCCUUCAAAGGUCUCUUCUGGCUGAAUCUAAUAGAUGUUGGGUGAGGCCAGCCGGUGGCCUGGUGGUUAAAGUGGCUGGAUCUCAUAUGAGCGACUGUGGGGUUCGAGUCCCAGACUCAGCAGCUUGAAAAGAACACAGCAGGGGCAAGUGCCUGAACUCCCAAGAGGAGAAUGGAGGAGGGAUUGUGAGGUGGCCAUCCCCUCUGCAGGGUGCUUUCUCUCUUCUUCUCUCGUGUGCUCUGUCUCCCCCAGCACAUACUCCCUAUAGCAAAUUAAAAACAAAAACAAACCACAAAAACAGGCCUUAAGUGCAGUGAUCAGCAGGCGCUCAGGACCCAGGGGCUCACAGCUUACGUGCCCAGUGGUUCUCCCCUCCCCUGCUCCUUCCUCCUCGGUCAGUCCCUCACCUCUCCCUCCUGGGUCUCAGACCUUUCCGUUUCCUCCAGCCCUGCCCCUUCCCUGGAUUUAUACCCCCUCCCAGGGCUUCCAUCAACACUGCUCAUCUCCCCCAGGCCUUUUGACCCAAUUUCAGGAAGCUGGUUUGUUACUUCUUACUUCGUCCAGGAGACCCACUUGCCCUCAGAAGGGCCUGGCCUCCGUGCAUCUUGAUGACCACUGCUGCCGCUUGCUGGGAGCUGCUCCGAGGCCCUCCAGGGGCUUCUCGAAGUUGGCCUUUCUGCAUCUUCAAAGUGACUGUCCUGCUGAGCCUAUCUGGGGGGAAGGCAUAUUUUGCAGGAAAGGGUAAGAUCCAAAGUCAACAGCUGCCCUGCAGGCCCUCCUUCCUCAUCACUUUGUUGUGGGUUUUUUUAAGGUGAGCAGCUCCGCCUGCGGUCGGUCUUCCUGAUUUAUUAAAGGCAGAAGAGGAAAAACCAGCUCCAGUGACUAAAUCUACUUAGUAACCACAUCCACACAUUUAGCAAGGCAAGGGGCUGCUCGGAGCGUGCUCUGGAUUCCCGGAGGGCCGCCAUGCGGCCUUCCGUCCCGCUGACCUCUCUCUGUCUCAGCAGAGCCUUAGAAUAAUAACCACCAUAAAUCUUUUAGUGGCUUCCAUUCUCCUUCUCCUCCUGCAAAAAGCCCCGCGCACAUCUAUCAGGUCCUCAGAGAUGCUCGGGGACCGUGGACCUGUCCUCGAGCCACCCCGUUUCGGGCUUCUUACAUCCCUCUCAGCUAUUCCAGGCUCCCCUCAAACCACGUGGUGGUGCGUGGCAGCACACUGCAGGGUGUGGGGCUCUGGGAGAGGGUGGCUGAAAAGUGGGUGUCGUUUUGGGUCAGAUUUCAACUGGAAUAAUCCCAAGAGCAUCCUACUUCUUGCUGCCUCAUCUCGGUGCCCAGAGAAGAUGAAGUCCCCUUGACAGCUUUCUCGAGGUUUGGGGGUAUGUCAACAAAAGCGACAAAGAGAGACACAGUGUCUCUCACACUUCAGUGUCUGGACAGGAGCAGCUUCAGACGCGCGGACUGCCGUACCCAAUGUCAAUAACACGUCGUGCACGAAGAAAGCUGUAAUGCUUCCAGAACGUUUUCUUUUGGGCUUUGUCCAUGAUUAGAUUAUACCAAAUUACAGAGUACAGAUAGCAGACAAUUACUCCUUGCUUUUAACUAUUCAAUUUCAUGGCGAAUCCACAUCGCUCAGUAAUUAUAAAAUCACACCGAUGUGGUUACGAGGAGGGACCUCAUCAUCUCCGUCUUGUGAGCCGGGUUCACGCUGCCCUGUAAUUGCCUGUGGUCCUGUUAAGUGUAAAGUACGAUCCCAACCAAGAUGGAAUCAUCCGGACUUCUUUGUAACUGCCGGGUAUCUGGAGAGAUCCGUGCAGUUGGCUGGAUAAAACUCAGCGAGAUGCAAGGAGGAACGGGCUGUGCAUGUCCCAUAAGCAAUCCAGUCUGCUGUCCUGGAAACUGGAGGAGCUUGCUGACAAAAAAGAAUUAUUUGAGCUGAUUGCGAGAAAUCGAACAGCGGCAGCAGUUGGGAAACUGAUAAGAAAGGAGCCGACACAUCCAAAGCGGCGGCCGGGGCACUGUGCAUGCAGAUAUAAUGGGCCCUUCUGCAGCCGCGCUCUCGCCAUGUAUUACCGACGUCUUGGCAGCAUUUCUGGAAACCUGCAGCUGCUCUGGGCCGAUCAGUACGUGCCCUGGAAGUGUGAACUUGCAACUCGGCAGGGACUGGGCCCCGUGGGAGCUCUGCAUGUUCUUCCCGAGAAUUCAGAGCACCCCAGAUGACGGUCCUUGUUCAGGGUUGGGGUCUCCUUGUGCUGGUAACCACUUUGGGUGGCUAAGCCCUCCCGGUGGUCAGGGUGGGUGGAGAUAAGAAAUGGCACUGUGCCGAUUGCUGGUAACCUAUGGAGGAGCGGGCCUGGGGUUCAUAGAUGGCCCUGGUUUAUAAAUAAAUGAAUGUUCAUGAACGUAAAAUUAAAUUAGGAUGAAAUCUCCCCUCCAGUUUUGUUUAGAAGGCAGAAAUAAGUGGGUUGGCUGUGUAAUUUUGCUGCAGAUGCUGGGGCGCGUCGUCACAAGGUGGUAAUAAUAAUGUAAUUUGCUGGUGCCGCCGUCCGGGUCUCAAGGCAGAUAUUACUGCCCUGCCUUUGCCAAGGCUCAUUGAGGUUAAAGGGCUGCUUGCAAGUUACUCAGCAAGGGGUCGAGUGCAGAGACCUUAAAAUCCUCUGGCCCGUUAGAGUAAACAGAAAACAGACCCCAUAGAAGAGAACUGAACUCCUGCCCUCAUCUUGCCGCUGGCUCAGUGAGUGGACAAAACACACCAUCCAGGUAUUUUGGGGGCCUCAGUUCCCUCACUUGUAAUGGAAGGGCCGGCUCCAAUCUACAGCCCGAUCCGAGUUAGUAUUCAAACCUGAAACUUAUAAAAGACACUCAUUUCAGUAACAUGGGCACCUUUUAUGGCCAGCUCCC
Tupaia belangeri chinensis (Chinese tree shrew) is the source of this 4634-nucleotide long non-coding RNA. RefSeq lists it as uncharacterized. The record is from RefSeq and is a predicted model, not a curated record. NCBI's taxonomy places the organism in Eukaryota, Metazoa, Chordata, Mammalia, Scandentia, Tupaiidae. The transcript is spliced from 5 exons.